AUUGAACGCUGGCGGCAGGCCUAACACAUGCAAGUCGAGCGGUAGCACAGAGAGCUUGCUCUCGGGUGACGAGCGGCGGACGGGUGAGUAAUGUCUGGGAAACUGCCUGAUGGAGGGGGAUAACUACUGGAAACGGUAGCUAAUACCGCAUACGUCGCAAGACCAAAGAGGGGGACCUUCGGGCCUCUUGCCAUCAGAUGUGCCCAGAUGGGAUUAGCUAGUAGGUGGGGUAACGGCUCACCUAGGCGACGAUCCCUAGCUGGUCUGAGAGGAUGACCAGCCACACUGGAACUGAGACACGGUCCAGACUCCGACGGGAGGCAGCAGUGGGGAAUAUUGCACAAUGGGCGCAAGCCUGAUGCAGCCAUGCCGCGUGUAUGAAGAAGGCCUUCGGGUUGUAAAGUACUUUCAGCGGGGAGGAAGGCGAUAAGGUUAAUAACCUUGUCGAUUGACGUUACCCGCAGAAGAAGCACCGGCUAACUCCGUGCCAGCAGCCGCCGUAA
RNAcentral lists this ribosomal RNA (503 nucleotides) under uncultured bacterium. RNAcentral's name for it is "partial 16S ribosomal RNA". It matches the Rfam family "Bacterial small subunit ribosomal RNA", at positions 30 to 523 of the family's 1533-position model. The record is from RNAcentral.